Transfer RNA from Eubacteriaceae bacterium CHKCI004, 72 nucleotides. It matches the Rfam family "tRNA". From Rfam's summary of the family: Transfer RNA (tRNA) molecules are approximately 80 nucleotides in length. Their secondary structure includes four short double-helical elements and three loops (D, anti-codon, and T loops). Further hydrogen bonds mediate the characteristic L-shaped molecular structure. tRNAs have two regions of fundamental functional importance: the anti-codon, which is responsible for specific mRNA codon recognition, and the 3' end, to which the tRNAs corresponding amino acid is attached (by aminoacyl-tRNA synthetases). tRNAs cope with the degeneracy of the genetic code in two manners: having more than one tRNA (with a specific anti-codon) for a particular amino acid; and 'wobble' base-pairing, i.e. permitting non-standard base-pairing at the 3rd anti-codon position. The record is from Rfam. NCBI's taxonomy places the organism in Bacteria, Bacillati, Bacillota, Clostridia, Eubacteriales, Eubacteriaceae.
GGCUCCUUGGUCAAGUGGUUAAGACACCGCCCUUUCACGGCGGUAACAGGAGUUCAAAUCUCCUAGGAGUCA